This 397-nucleotide ribosomal RNA is filed under the name uncultured bacterium. RNAcentral's name for it is "partial 16S ribosomal RNA". It matches the Rfam family "Bacterial small subunit ribosomal RNA", at positions 523 to 918 of the family's 1533-position model. The record is from RNAcentral.
AUACGUAGGGGGCGAGCGUUGUCCGGAAUGAUUGGGCGUAAAGGGCGCGUAGGCGGCCCGGUAAGUCUGGAGUGAAAGUCCUGUUUUUAAGAUGGGAAUUGCUUUGGAUACUGUCGGGCUUGAGUGCAGGAGAGGUAAGUGGAAUUCCCAGUGUAGCGGUGAAAUGCGUAGAGAUUGGGAGGAACACCAGUGGCGAAGGCGGCGUACUGGACUGUAACUGACGCUGAUGCGCGAAAGUGUGGGGAGCAAACAGGAUUAGAUACCCUGGUAGUCCACACCGUAAACGAUGAAUGCUAGGUGUAGGGGGUAUCGACCCCUUCUGUGCCGCAGUCAACACAAUAAGCAUUCCGCCUGGGGAGUACGGCCGCAAGGUUGAAACUUAAAGGAAUUGACGGGG